GUUUCAGAAAUUGCUAUAAUGGCAAAUUUUGAUGUCACCAAUCUCUAUACUAAUAUACCUCACACUUUAGGCCUAGAAGCAAUCAAACACUGGGUAG
Molecule: long non-coding RNA, 97 nt
Organism: Octopus sinensis (East Asian common octopus)
Lineage: Eukaryota; Metazoa; Mollusca; Cephalopoda; Octopoda; Octopodidae
Exons: 4
Source: RefSeq, a predicted model, not a curated record